UUAAGCGACUAAGCGUACACGGUGGAUGCCCUGGCAGUCAGAGGCGAUGAAGGACGUGCUAAUCUGCGAAAAGCGUCGGUAAGGUGAUAUGAACCGUUAUAACCGGCGAUGUCCGAAUGGGGAAACCCAGUGCAAUUCGUUGCACUAUCGUUAACUGAAUACAUAGGUUAACGAGGCGAACCGGGGGAACUGAAACAUCUAAGUACCCCGAGGAAAAGAAAUCAACCGAGAUUCCCCCAGUAGCGGCGAGCGAACGGGGAGCAGCCCAGAGUCUGAAUCAGCUUGUGUGUUAGUGGAACGGUCUGGAAAGUCCGACGGUACAGGGUGAUAGUCCCGUACACCAAAAUGCACAGGCUGUGAACUCGAAGAGUAGGGCGGGACACGUGGUAUCCUGUCUGAAUAUGGGGGGACCAUCCUCCAAGGCUAAAUACUCCUGACUGACCGAUAGUGAACCAGUACCGUGAGGGAAAGGCGAAAAGAACCCCGGCGAGGGGAGUGAAAAAGAACCUGAAACCGUGUACGUACAAGCAGUGGGAGCACCUUCGGGUGUGACUGCGUACCUUUUGUAUAAUGGGUCAGCGACUUAUAUUCUGUAGCAAGGUUAACCGUAUAGGGGAGCCGCAGGGAAACCGAGUCUUAACUGGGCGUUAAGUUGCAGGGUAUAGACCCGAAACCCGGUGAUCUAGCCAUGGGCAGGUUGAAGGUUGGGUAACACUAACUGGAGGACCGAACCGACUAAUGUUGAAAAAUUAGCGGAUGACUUGUGGCUGGGGGUGAAAGGCCAAUCAAACCGGGAGAUAGCUGGUUCUCCCCGAAAGCUAUUUAGGUAGCGCCUCGUGAACUCAUCUUCGGGGGUAGAGCACUGUUUCGGCUAGGGGGUCAUCCCGACUUACCAACCCGAUGCAAACUACGAAUACCGAAGAAUGUUAUCACGGGAGACACACGGCGGGUGCUAACGUCCGUCGUGAAGAGGGAAACAACCCAGACCGCCAGCUAAGGUCCAAAGUCAUGGUUAAGUGGGAAACGAUGUGGGAAGGCACAGACAGCCAGGAUGUUGGCUUAGAAGCAGCCAUCAUUUAAAGAAAGCGUAAUAGCUCACUGGUCGAGUCGGCCUGCGCGGAAGAUGUAACGGGGCUAAACCAUGCACCGAAGCUGCGGCAGCGACACUAUGUGUUGUUGGGUAGGGGAGCGUUCUGUAAGCCUGCGAAGGUGUGCUGUGAGGCAUGCUGGAGGUAUCAGAAGUGCGAAUGCUGACAUAAGUAACGAUAAAGCGGGUGAAAAGCCCGCUCGCCGGAAGACCAAGGGUUCCUGUCCAACGUUAAUCGGGGCAGGGUGAGUCGACCCCUAAGGCGAGGCCGAAAGGCGUAGUCGAUGGGAAACAGGUUAAUAUUCCUGUACUUGGUGUUACUGCGAAGGGGGGACGGAGAAGGCUAUGUUAGCCGGGCGACGGUUGUCCCGGUUUAAGCAUGUAGGCUGGUUAUCCAGGCAAAUCCGGAUAAUCAAGGCUGAGGUGUGAUGACGAGGCACUACGGUGCUGAAGUAACAAAUGCCCUGCUUCCAGGAAAAGCCUCUAAGCAUCAGGUAACAUCAAAUCGUACCCCAAACCGACACAGGUGGUCAGGUAGAGAAUACCAAGGCGCUUGAGAGAACUCGGGUGAAGGAACUAGGCAAAAUGGUGCCGUAACUUCGGGAGAAGGCACGCUGGUGUGUAGGUGAAGUCCCUGCGGAUGGAGCUGAGACCAGUCGAAGAUACCAGCUGGCUGCAACUGUUUAUUAAAAACACAGCACUGUGCAAACACGAAAGUGGACGUAUACGGUGUGACGCCUGCCCGGUGCCGGAAGGUUAAUUGAUGGGGUUAUCCGUAAGGAGAAGCUCUUGAUCGAAGCCCCGGUAAACGGCGGCCGUAACUAUAACGGUCCUAAGGUAGCGAAAUUCCUUGUCGGGUAAGUUCCGACCUGCACGAAUGGCGUAAUGAUGGCCAGGCUGUCUCCACCCGAGACUCAGUGAAAUUGAACUCGCUGUGAAGAUGCAGUGUACCCGCGGCAAGACGGAAAGACCCCGUGAACCUUUACUAUAGCUUGACACUGAACAUUGAGCCUUGAUGUGUAGGAUAGGUGGGAGGCUUUGAAGCGUGGACGCCAGUCUGCGUGGAGCCAACCUUGAAAUACCACCCUUUAAUGUUUGAUGUUCUAACGUUGGCCCCUGACCGGGGUUGCGGACAGUGUCUGGUGGGUAGUUUGACUGGGGCGGUCUCCUCCCAAAGCGUAACGGAGGAGCACGAAGGUUAGCUAAUCCUGGUCGGACAUCAGGAGGUUAGUGCAAUGGCAUAAGCUAGCUUGACUGCGAGCGUGACGGCGCGAGCAGGUGCGAAAGCAGGUCAUAGUGAUCCGGUGGUUCUGAAUGGAAGGGCCAUCGCUCAACGGAUAAAAGGUACUCCGGGGAUAACAGGCUGAUACCGCCCAAGAGUUCAUAUCGACGGCGGUGUUUGGCACCUCGAUGUCGGCUCAUCACAUCCUGGGGCUGAAGUAGGUCCCAAGGGUAUGGCUGUUCGCCAUUUAAAGUGGUACGCGAGCUGGGUUUAGAACGUCGUGAGACAGUUCGGUCCCUAUCUGCCGUGGGCGCUGGAGAAUUGAGGGGGGCUGCUCCUAGUACGAGAGGACCGGAGUGGACGCAUCACUGGUGUUCGGGUUGUCAUGCCAAUGGCACUGCCCGGUAGCUAAAUGCGGAAGAGAUAAGUGCUGAAAGCAUCUAAGCACGAAACUUGCCCCGAGAUGAGUUCUCCCUGAGACUUUAAGUCUCCUGAAGGAACGUUGAAGACGACGACGUUGAUAGGCCGGGUGUGUAAGCGCAGCGAUGCGUUGAGCUAACCGGUACUAAUGAACCGUGAGGCUUAACCUU
This 2899-nucleotide ribosomal RNA is filed under the name Klebsiella pneumoniae. RNAcentral's name for it is "23S ribosomal RNA". It matches the Rfam family "Bacterial large subunit ribosomal RNA". Lineage: Bacteria; Pseudomonadati; Pseudomonadota; Gammaproteobacteria; Enterobacterales; Enterobacteriaceae. The record is from RNAcentral.